CCUACGGGUGGCUGCAGUGGGGAAUAUUGGACAAUGGGCGAAAGCCUGAUCCAGCCAUGCCGCGUGUGUGAAGAAGGCCUUCGGGUUGUAAAGCACUUUCAGUGGGGAAGAAAGCCUUGGGGCUAAUACCCUCGAGGAAGGACAUCACCCACAGAAGAAGCACCGGCUAACUCCGUGCCAGCAGCCGCGGUAAUACGGAGGGUGCGAGCGUUAAUCGGAAUUACUGGGCGUAAAGCGCGCGUAGGCGGUCUGAUAAGCCGGUUGUGAAAGCCCCGGGCUCAACCUGGGAACGGCAUCCGGAACUGUCAGGCUAGAGUGCAGGAGAGGAAGGUAGAAGUCCCGGUGUAGCGGUGAAAUGCGGAGAGAUCGGGAGGAAUACCAGUGGCGAAGGCGGCCUUCUGGACUGACACUGACGCUGAGGUGCGAAAGCGUGGGUAGCAAACAGGAUUAGAUACCCUUGUAGUC
Molecule: ribosomal RNA, 465 nt
Filed under: Vreelandella stevensii
Lineage: Bacteria; Pseudomonadati; Pseudomonadota; Gammaproteobacteria; Oceanospirillales; Halomonadaceae
Description: partial 16S ribosomal RNA
Rfam family: Bacterial small subunit ribosomal RNA
Source: RNAcentral